AAACCCAUUUUCAUUAAAUCACACAAUGCAUUCUUUUUAGUACAACGCUGCUGUUAAAACUUUCAAUAAUAUUAAUAAUGAUCUAUCACAGCUGAGUAGGCUAAAUGUAGAGGAAACACUGCAUAUGGAUCAGUGUGUUGGAGUUCUGAGGUAAAAACAGACUGAUACUGAUGGAUUGAUAAACUGGUAGACCUAAUGGAAUGACCAGGGGACACCCCUCUCUGUGGGCCAAAACAAUUUACUAAGUGUGGAAAUAUAUAUGUGGUAUGACUACUGUGGGUUUGUAAGCCUUGUAUGAAUACAACAUAACCAUACAUUGUGACAUGUUUAUUCUUACUAAAAUAAUUUAUAUUGGCUGUCUCACUGCGUUGCUUUGAACAUGAUUGGUUUAUCUGACUGUCAUCCAUGAAACUGCCCAAUGACAACUGCGCGCCUUUUGCCGCUCAAAUUUGAAAAUAGGUCCGUUUGAGUGGUGUGCUGUUGUUACGGAGCAUACACAGUUCGCACUCCGCACUACUACUUGGUUGGUCUACUGCUAAUGGGUGUUAGGCUACCUGCCUAGAUUAUUUAAAAUGUUCCUGCUAAAUACAAAUUUGAGUCGUGGGAUGACAACGGAGACAAAACCUAAAUAUGGACACUGAGGAGGAGUCAGGCAGGUUCUGUUUAGUAAAUGGAUUUUUAUUUUGAUCUUAUCAGGUCAUAAAACAUUUCCCCUGCUAUUUAUGUAGAGCUACACUACUGUAGUAUACUCGACAGUACUGUACUACAGUACAACCUAACAACUUUGUUCUUAUCCUCAUGUCCUUUACGAAAGCCAACUGCCCAGUUUGACCAACGAUGAGUAACGGACAACCAGCAUAAGCCAACUGCCCACUUUUACCAACGAUGAGUAAUGGACAACCAGCAUAAGAUACCAGCAUUGUGUUACCCUCGUGUGUGAUCGCCCAUUACUGCUGUGUUGCAGACGUUUUGGGAAUGGAAAGUCCCCUGCUGCAGAGUAGGAUGGAUCCAGCUGACUGCUAACAAUUUGGAGGAGGAUUGCUCUUUAUCUGCUAUGUUGCACUGUCGACUUCUGGUACAAAUGAAUUGACCUUUUGUGCCAUGCUUUUUUUACUUAACUUAA
Molecule: long non-coding RNA, 1123 nt
Organism: Clupea harengus (Atlantic herring)
Lineage: Eukaryota; Metazoa; Chordata; Actinopteri; Clupeiformes; Clupeidae
Exons: 5
Source: RefSeq, a predicted model, not a curated record